Molecule: non-coding RNA, 136 nt
Filed under: Saccharomyces kudriavzevii IFO 1802
Lineage: Eukaryota; Fungi; Ascomycota; Saccharomycetes; Saccharomycetales; Saccharomycetaceae
Description: Eukaryotic large subunit ribosomal RNA
Rfam family: Eukaryotic large subunit ribosomal RNA
Source: Rfam by way of RNAcentral
GCUGGCGAAUUGCAAUGUCAUUUUGCGUGGGGAUAAAUCAUUUGUAUACGACUUAGAUGUACAACGGGGUAUGUAAGCAGUAGAGUAGCCUUGUUGUUACGAUCUGCUGAGAUUAAGCCUUUGUUGUCUGAUUUGU